UCCUGCCCUGUUAGGAUGGUGGUUCUGGACUGAGAAGCUGUCCUCCUUGCCCCUUUGCCCUGUGUGCCUCUCUGGUCUAGCCCCGCCGAGGCCCAGGGAGCCAUCCUUCCCCUCCUUGGGGUCCAUCUUACAAGUCCGGAUGCCAUCAGCUCCAAGGAGUUCCCUCUGGGCCAGAGCUCCUCCCUCCUCCGCCAGCCUCCUUGGGGUGCAGACAGACAGCCCAGCACAGGCCGGAAGGGCUUUCUGUUUGCCUUGGCUGGUGGGGAAGAGAUUAGCUGCUCGCUUUCUGUUUUGACUGUUGUAUCUAACCAACACAGAGCCUGUGACAUCUCAGAAAAGCAGCCUUGGGUCUUGAAUGAGUUUGGGGCCUGUCCCUGAUGGCCUGGCCUCUGCAGAGAUGUCUGGAGGGGAUGACUUCUCCCCACCUCCUGGGAUUCACGUGGGGCCACUCCCCAUCCACUGGCUUUAGAGGCAGGCGUGUGUCCCAAGCUGGACACUGAGACUCCCUCUUGGGACGUUUGCAGCAACUAUGGGAAAAGAGGCAUUCACUUUUCAUGGGAGUUGCCACAUUGAUGGAACUCCUGCUUUCCACUUGAGGACGGAGCCAAGUGGUAGAGAAAGUAUGCUGUCCCCAGACCUCAGUAAGCCCCUGGAUCCAGCCAUGCCUGAAGCUAACACACCUCUGGACUAACCUGAUUAUAUGAGCCAACGAAUGCAUUUCUUUUUUUCUAAAACUAUCCUGAGUUGGAUUUCUGUCAUAGAAAGGGUCCUAAUAAAGCUAUGUUUUUCUUUGGUCUCACU
Long non-coding RNA from Aethalodelphis obliquidens (Pacific white-sided dolphin), 801 nucleotides. RefSeq lists it as uncharacterized. The record is from RefSeq and is a predicted model, not a curated record. NCBI's taxonomy places the organism in Eukaryota, Metazoa, Chordata, Mammalia, Artiodactyla, Delphinidae. The transcript has 2 exons.